This 4118-nucleotide long non-coding RNA is filed under the name Apis mellifera (honey bee). Its description in RNAcentral is "uncharacterized LOC102656191". Lineage: Eukaryota; Metazoa; Arthropoda; Insecta; Hymenoptera; Apidae. The record is from RNAcentral.
UGCAGCGUCGUCGAGCAGCGUCGGCCCGCGUCCUGGGCGCCUGCGUCCUUUCCUCCUCCGCUCCGUGCACAGCUCCUUCUCUCUCUCUCUCCAAUGCUUCUCCUCUUCCUUCCUCUCGUCUCUCUCUCUUUCCCUCGCAACCCCUUUCUUCCUUCAUUCCUCCUCCUUCCCUCCCUUUCCUCGCGUCUCCGUUUCGCUUUUGCUCCGUUCCUCCAACCUCCUCCUCCCCCCUUCUCCCUCGCACGAGUGUGUGCGCAAAGCGCAUACCGGUAUGCGUGAAGCUUGGCCGGAUCGAGGGGAGGGAAGCUGCGAGAAGUUGGAGGGGGUAAACCCGCCAGCCCCUUUCCCGAUGUGGCUCUUGGCCAUCGAUUUUGUACGAGUUCGGGGCCGGAGCAACACCUGUUACCGCGUCGGAUGGGAAAGAGUGGAAGGGGGAGGGGAGGAGGAGGAGGACCGGGUAGGUGUAUUGGUAGGGUGGAUGGACGAGGAGGGGGGGGAUGAAUAGAAGGCGGAGGACGACGUUAUACGAGCUCGCGUGAGGGGGACGAGGAAGAGAAAGGAGUAUCCAUCGAACGGUGAGAAGGCAUUUUCCCUUCGCCUCGUGGCCACGUAAGUUUCACGGAGAGUCUUCGUUGCACCUCCAGCUUCUCGUCCCUCUUCGUCCACGUGGUUGUGCGCAGGAGGAGGAGGAGGAGGAGGGGGAGGGGGAUGGUUUGUAUGCGUACCUUAUAAUCUCGACGCUUAUUCUCGGACGUCAUCUAACCGCUCGUAUCGUCUGCGCCGCUCCUCCUUUUCAUCCCUUUUCAUUCCCUUUCUCGCUUCUCCUCUCUAUUUAUCCCUCGUGUUUCCCCUGGUUCAAGGGAUGCCUGGUUAAAGGGUAUGUACGAUUCUCUUCUUCUUCUUCUUUUUUUUUUUUUUCUUUUUUUUAUUUAUAUCCCUCCUCCUCUUCCUCCUCGGCGUGGAUUUAAUGAUUCCGAUGAGGAGGAGUUGAAACUUUCCCCUCGGCGUGGAGGGGAAGUUUUUGGCUCUAACUGUUGUCUGAAAGUUGGGAGCAGGGGGGAUACACCCCAGUGGAGGAAGAAAGUUUAAGACGAGUUUUGAUGGAUCGUUGUAUGUACUUUAUAUUGUAGACAGUAAAUGGACGAUGGAUUAAUCCGGUGCAAUUGGGGCGUAGGGAGAUCUAGCUUUAUCUUAUUAUUCGAUAAUUCAUUCUGUAUUUUAACGUAUUCAUUUUGGAAAGCUAUUGGAAAUUAGAAGAUACUACAUUAUUUUUAAUCUGUCCAAUAAAUUCAUUAUUGAUUAAUCAUUAAUUUUAAUCACAAUUAUUAAUCAUAAUAAUUGUUUCUAUUUUCGAAAAAUAUAAAAACAGAUAUUCGAAGGAACAGUAAAAUUUAACGUCGAUGAUAAUUUGAUCGAAUAAUUGUGAAAAAGUUGAUUGAUUGAUUUACACCUGAUAAUUUUCUUCCUCCUCGAAAAUUGAUUUAUUCGCGAAUCAAAAUUCAUUAAUUGAACGCAAUAUUCAUCUUGGAGACGAAGAUUAUCGGAUUAAUUAAAAUUCGUGAUACAAUUAUUCGAAUAAUCCUAAGUAAAUAUCUCAGAGAAUCUUUUCGAGGGAAAAUAUAUUUUUGAAGUUUUGACAUAACGUGUUUCGAUUGUGGAAACUCGAGCGUGGGUGGAAAAGAGUCAUCGUCGAAGAAUGGAGAAAGGACGCGAUUCAAUCCUUUUUCGAUGCGUUCUUCUUCGAUUCAGCUUCUAAAAGGAAAAAAAAAAAAAAAAAAGACGGGUUCCUCUCAUUUUCGCAAAAUGUUCUUAUUAAUAUUUAUCGGAGCCGAUUUCAAGCGCAGAGCUCCGACAACGAGACAAUUAAAACGCUGAACCGAAUUCAACGUAAGCCCCGAGGAUUAAAGGAAGUCUGAUUAGCGAAUCGUGUUACCGUUUGAUCUUCAAUUAAACGCAGAAUUCGCGAUUCCUGCUCAUCUCACGUCCCCGUGAAAAUGAACAGCCUUGGAAUUAAACUCUGUUUAUCCUCUUUUCCUUUCUUUUUCAAAUUUUUCGAUCAAUCACAUGUACGUGCAAAAAGUACAUGGAAAUAUUAUAUUUCAGAUAAUCGAUCUCGUUAUUAAUUUUCUUUAAUUUUUAAAAGUUACGUCCAUAAAUUUAAGAAAUUUAUCGAAAAACUAAAUUAACAUAAGAUAUUGUGGCUUACUGAUAAUAUAUUCGAAGGAAAGAUCCUUGCUUCUUAUUUUUCUUCUCUCAAAGACCAGUUGCUGGCGAAUAAGAUUUGCAUGCAAAGGGGUUUAUUACGCGAUACGUGGAAUAUUUUAUGGAAUAUUACGUCAAAUAACACGAUUGUUAAAACUUGUAUCCUUAGGUGGAAUGUAAACGUGGAAACGUUUUGCGAGAUAAUAUUGUUAGAGAGAGGAGGGGGGGAGAGGAUGUGUUUAUCACAUCCGCAUACCGUUGAAACUUGUAAACGCGUCAGCGUAUGGGAUACCGUAUGAGUGGAACUGACGUGGAAAACUUCAUUCUUUAUUUUAGUAUCCUUUAAUGGAAAGCUUUUACCGUAUACAUUGCACCCUUAAUUUAAUGCUUUUAAUAUUUCUCGUGUUACUUCUCCAGCCGCAACCUUCCACCACCGUGGAUUCCAACUCUUCUCCUACAAUUCUCAAAGAUACCAGAAUUUUUCUUUUCAGGAAAAAUUUUAUUAAAUUUCAUUUAAACUCGAUAUUAUGAAAAAAAUCUCGUCAAAUUUUUUCAUACCCUGUUAAUUCAACGAAGACGCAAACUUACCCAUCGAUCCAAGGACGCAAGACUUCCGGUUUACCGGCAAUCGUUGCUCUUCGAUCGCGUUAGAUGGCCGGGUAAUUGCGGGAUACAUUCUAUUUCAGAAUCUCUCCUCCACCAACUCCCACUUCGUUCGCUCGUUCUCGCCCUAUAAUUGCGCAUAUUCACCGGUUGCUCGGCAACCUUCGUGCCGCGUCGGCUCGACCGGCAUCCAGGGACCGCCGAGCCUCUCCUCCGGGCCCGGAAGCCGGAGGAUUCGAUUCGCGAGUUGGACCUGUAUUAAUCGGAGCCAACGUGUUUUGCUUCGAUGUCCUGGGAUACCUGCGUCGAGAAUUUGUUAUUAUUUGUUCUUCUUCGAAUUGCUUUUGUACUUUUUUUAUAGAAAAUUGGGGAAGGACGCACGUUUGGUGAUCGAUUAAAGCGGCCCGACUGAUUCACUGGCUUACGAGCUGAUCACGAGCAGAAGCGGCGCGGCCAGGUCUUCAUAAAUCAAAGGAUUAGCCGGGGAUUACUUGGGAGAAUGAAAUACGCCGGUGGCGGAGUCACGAUCGUGAAUUCUGGAUCGUUUGUUGAAACGGAGUUAUCCGCCAAUCGUGAAAUCUCUUAUAUCCGUUUUCUUUCAAACUGAAGGAGAGAGAGAGAGAGAGAAAGAGAGUAAAAUUGGUUAUGUAAGUAAGAGAAAAAUAAUUCUUCGUUUUAAACGGCGGGUGAGAAAUGCAUCGAGAAUGGACCUGUUUGGGAAUCGGUGCACGUCCCUGUGCACCUUCACGUGGAUAUCUCCUCUACGUGAUUUAAUCUGCAUCGGCAAAAGUACGAUGGAGUAUACGGUGGUGGACAAAAGGAUGAAUAAAUUAUGACUGUUUUCACGGGGGGAGAAUUAGUCCAUUCGCUUGGAAUCUUUAAAAUUUUACUUUUUAUAUCGGAAGAUCGAUAGUUGUUUGCCGAGAUUUAAUGAAUUUCUGUAAUUGAGAUAUUAUUAACGAAUAUUUUCUUGCUUAUACGCGUCUUUACACGCUGAUUUCGGAUUGAUUGAAUAGAAUUUUCAGUGUAAAAAGCGAAGUGGAAUACGUGAAUUACGAGCGAGCUCGUAAGUAAGCUGUUAGGUUUGUGGAGAAAUGGCGGAUUCCGAGGUGGAGUACUCGUGGGAAAGUGCGGACGGGGUUUAAGUGGAAUAUGUAUAAUCAUGCUCAGACACGGCGGAUGAACAGUGGAAUAAGUGUUUUAGAGCUUGGUGAAAUUCUUUCCUUGUUUCGUGCACAUAUCAAUGCUAAUUAUAAAAUAACAAGCUUUUAAUCAAUUGUUACCAAUUAAUUAAAAUAAAAUGUCUCACAAAA